GACAGCAGCCGCCGCGGUAAUACGGAGGGUGCAAGCGUUAAUCGGAAUUACUGGGCGUAAAGCGCACGCAGGCGGUCUGACAAGUCAGAUGUGAAAUCCCCGGGCUUAACCUGGGAACUGCAUUUGAAACUGUCAGGCUGGAGUCUUGUAGAGGGGGGUGGAAUUCCAGGUGUAGCGGUGAAAUGCGUAGAGAUCUGGAGGAAUACCGGUGGCGAAGGCGGCCCCCUGGACAAAGACUGACGCUCAGGUGCGAAAGCGUGGGGAGCAAACAGGAUUAGAUACCCCAGUAGUCCCUGUCUCUUAUAA
Molecule: ribosomal RNA, 306 nt
Filed under: uncultured bacterium
Lineage: Bacteria
Description: partial 16S ribosomal RNA
Rfam family: Bacterial small subunit ribosomal RNA
Source: RNAcentral